Molecule: ribosomal RNA, 108 nt
Filed under: uncultured bacterium
Lineage: Bacteria
Description: partial 16S ribosomal RNA
Rfam family: Bacterial small subunit ribosomal RNA
Source: RNAcentral
UGGGGAAUCUUGCGCAAUGGGCGAAAGCCUGACGCAGCGACGCCGCGUGAGCGAUGAAGGCCUUCGGGUCGUAAAGCUCUGUCAGAGGGGAAGAUAAUGACGGACUCA